UACGAAGGGGGCUAGCGUUGUCCGGAUUUACUGGGCGUAAAGAGCGCGCAGGCGGUCGUUCAAGUCGCGUGUGAAAGCCCCCGGCUCAACUGGGGAGGGUCACGCGAUACUGAUCGACUCGAAGGCAGGAGAGGGAAGUGGAAUUCCCGGUGUAGUGGUGAAAUGCGUAGAUAUCGGGAGGAACACCAGUGGCGAAGGCGACUUCCUGGCCUGUUCUUGACGCUGAGGCGCGAAAGCUAGGGGGGCAAACGGG
Molecule: ribosomal RNA, 253 nt
Filed under: uncultured bacterium
Lineage: Bacteria
Description: partial 16S ribosomal RNA
Rfam family: Bacterial small subunit ribosomal RNA
Source: RNAcentral